This 503-nucleotide ribosomal RNA is filed under the name uncultured bacterium. RNAcentral's name for it is "partial 16S ribosomal RNA". It matches the Rfam family "Bacterial small subunit ribosomal RNA", at positions 30 to 523 of the family's 1533-position model. The record is from RNAcentral.
AUUGAACGCUGGCGGCAGGCUUAACACAUGCAAGUCGAGCGGGGUGAUGGUGCUUGCACUAUCACUUAGCGGCGGACGGGUGAGUAAUGCUUAGGAAUCUGCCUAUUAGUGGGGGACAACAUCUCGAAAGGGAUGCUAAUACCGCAUACGUCCUACGGGAGAAAGCAGGGGAUCACUUGUGACCUUGCGCUAAUAGAUGAGCCUAAGUCGGAUUAGCUAGUUGGUGGGGUAAAGGCCUACCAAGGCGACGAUCUGUAGCGGGUCUGAGAGGAUGAUCCGCCACACUGGGACUGAGACAAGGCCCAGACUCCUACGGGAGGCAGCAGUGGGGAAUAUUGGACAAUGGGGGGAACCCUGAUCCAGCCAUGCCGCGUGUGUGAAGAAGGCCUUAUGGUUGUAAAGCACUUUAAGCGAGGAGGAGGCUCUUUUGGUUAAUACCCAAGAUGAGUGGACGUUACUCGCGGAAUAAGCACCGGCUAACUCUGUGCCAGCAGCCGCCGUAA